UACCUGGAACAAGUUACAACGAACACAAUUUAACAUAAACCACCACCAAUUUUGAACCAUUUGAUCGAAAAAUGAGACAUUUAAAGCACAUGGAGCAUUAAUAAUAAUAAACAUAAAGUUACACAACACAGAGGGACAAAAACACACACAAAUAGGUAUUACACUCCGAAACAACAACUUUUUUCUCAAAAAGGCAACCCAAGCAAUUCCGCGCACGUGCACCACUCAAACGCCCGAAGCAGAAUCCAUAC
This is a long non-coding RNA of Cydia pomonella (codling moth), 251 nucleotides long. RefSeq lists it as uncharacterized. The record is from RefSeq and is a predicted model, not a curated record. The transcript is spliced from 2 exons. NCBI's taxonomy places the organism in Eukaryota, Metazoa, Arthropoda, Insecta, Lepidoptera, Tortricidae.